Molecule: ribosomal RNA, 488 nt
Filed under: uncultured bacterium
Lineage: Bacteria
Description: partial 16S ribosomal RNA
Rfam family: Bacterial small subunit ribosomal RNA
Source: RNAcentral
GACGAACGCUGGCGGCGUGCUUAACACAUGCAAGUCGAACGGAAAGGCCCUGCUUUUGUGGGGUGCUCGAGUGGCGAACGGGUGAGUAACACGUGAGUAACCUGCCCUUGACUUUGGGAUAACUUCAGGAAACUGGGGCUAAUACCGGAUAGGAGCUCCUGCUGCAUGGUGGGGGUUGGAAAGUUUCGGCGGUUGGGGAUGGACUCGCGGCUUAUCAGCUUGUUGGUGGGGUAGUGGCUUACCAAGGCUUUGACGGGUAGCCGGCCUGAGAGGGUGACCGGGCACACGAGCACGGAGGCACGGGCCAGACUGCUAGGGGAGGCAGCGGUAGGGAAGCGGCGGCAAGGGGGGAGAGCGGGACGGAGCAACGCCGCGUGAGUGAUGAAGGUCUUGGGAGAGGAAAACGGUGGUAUCAGGGAAGAACAAAUGUGUAAGGAACGAGGCAGUGCUGGACGGUACGUAAUAAGAAAGCCACGGAUAACGACGUG